CGUGCACGCCCGAGUGUGUCGCCUCACAUAAUAAUCCAUCUCACCCUUUGUGCAUCACCGCGUGGGCACCCCUUUGGGAUCAUCUCGGAGGGGGCUCGCGUUUUCACACAAAACCCCCCUUUUAAAAGUGUAGAAUGACCUCAUUUAUGCGCUAACCCGCAAUCAAUACAACUUUCAACAACGGAUCUCUUGGCUCUCGCAUCGAUGAAGAACGCAGCGAAAUGCGAUACGUAAUGUGAAUUGCAGAAUUCAGUGAAUCAUCGAAUCUUUGAACGCACCUUGCGCCCCCUGGUAUUCCGAGGGGCACACCCGUUUGAGUGUCGUGAAAACCUCAACCUCCUUGGUUUCUUCUGGAGACCAAAGCAGGCUUGGACUUUGGAGGCCUUUGCUGGCACCUCUCGCCAGCUCCUCUUAAAUGAAUUAGCAGGGUCCUCUUUGCUGAUCCUCGACGUGUGAUAAGAUGUUUCCAUGUCUUGGUUUCUGGCUCUGUCACCUUUGGGACCCGCUUCUAACCGUCUUCAACCUUGCGUUGAGACAACGUUCGAGCAUGUCUCCCUUCUCGGGAAGCUCCCUCGACCCCACGAACCCUUGACCUCAAAUCGGGUGAGACUACCCGCUGAACUUAAGCAU
Molecule: unclassified non-coding RNA, 630 nt
Filed under: uncultured Lactarius
Lineage: Eukaryota; Fungi; Basidiomycota; Agaricomycetes; Russulales; Russulaceae
Description: sequence contains ITS1, 5.8S rRNA gene and ITS2
Rfam family: 5.8S ribosomal RNA (bases 170-323)
Source: RNAcentral